UACGAAGGGGGCUAGCGUUGCUCGGAAUCACUGGGCGUAAAGCGCACGUAGGCGGAUUCUUAAGUCGGGGGUGAAAUCCUGGAGCUCAACUCCAGAACUGCCUUCGAUACUGGGAAUCUCGAGUCCGGGAGAGGUGAGUGGAACUCCGAGUGUAGAGGUGAAAUUCGUAGAUAUUCGGAAGAACACCAGUGGCGAAGGCGGCUCACUGGCCCGGUACUGACGCUGAGGUGCGAAAGCGUGGGGAGCAAACAGGG
RNAcentral lists this ribosomal RNA (254 nucleotides) under uncultured prokaryote. Its description in RNAcentral is "partial 16S ribosomal RNA". It matches the Rfam family "Bacterial small subunit ribosomal RNA", at positions 524 to 777 of the family's 1533-position model. The record is from RNAcentral.